This is a non-coding RNA of Myotis brandtii (Brandt's bat), 76 nucleotides long. The record is from Rfam. Lineage: Eukaryota; Metazoa; Chordata; Mammalia; Chiroptera; Vespertilionidae.
GGAGGUUCUCAGGUGACAAACCCCAGAAUCAGGCUCCCUCCUCUCUGGUUCUGGGGUGCAUCACCCUAGAAUUGCC